This 578-nucleotide ribosomal RNA is filed under the name uncultured bacterium. RNAcentral's name for it is "bacterial SSU rRNA". It matches the Rfam family "Bacterial small subunit ribosomal RNA", at positions 338 to 916 of the family's 1533-position model. The record is from RNAcentral.
CCUACGGGAGGCAGCAGUAAGGAAUAUUGGUCAAUGGACGAAAGUCUGAACCAGCCAUGCCGCGUGAAGGAUGAAGGCCCUCUGGGUUGUAAACUUCUUUUAUCUGGGACGAAAAAAGCUCAUUCUUGAGCACUUGACGGUACCAGAGGAAUAAGCACCGGCUAACUCCGUGCCAGCAGCCGCGGUAAUACGGAGGGUGCAAGCGUUAUCCGGAUUUACUGGGUUUAAAGGGUGCGUAGGUGGGCAGUUAAGUCAGUGGUGAAAUCUCCGAGCUUAACUCGGAAACUGCCAUUGAUACUAUCUGUCUUGAAUAUCCUGGAGGUGAGCGGAAUAUGUCAUGUAGCGGUGAAAUGCUUAGAUAUGACAUAGAACACCAAUUGCGAAGGCAGCUCACUACGGGAUUAUUGACACUGAGGCACGAAAGCGUGGGGAUCAAACAGGAUUAGAUACCCUGGUAGUCCACGCCCUAAACGAUGGAUACUCGACAUCAGCGAUACACUGUUGGUGUCUGAGCGAAAGCAUUAAGUAUCCCACCUGGGAAGUACGAUCGCAAGAUUGAAACUCAAAGGAAUUGACGG